CAGCAGCCGCGGGAAUACGUAGGUGGCAAGCGUUGUCCCGAAUUAUUGGGCGUAAAGGGCUCGCAGGCGGUUUCUUAAGUCUGAUGUGAAAGCCCCCGGCUCAACCGGGGAGGGUCAUUGGGAACUGGGAAACUUGAGUGCAGAAGAGGAGAGUGGAAUUCCACGUGUAGCGGUGAAAUGCGCAGAGAUGUGGAGGAACACCAGUGGCGAAGGCGACUCUCUGGUCUGAAACUGACGCUGAGGAGCGAAAGCGUGGGGAGCGAACAGGAUUAGAUACCCCCGUAGUCCCUGUCUCUUAUAC
RNAcentral lists this ribosomal RNA (301 nucleotides) under uncultured bacterium. RNAcentral's name for it is "partial 16S ribosomal RNA". It matches the Rfam family "Bacterial small subunit ribosomal RNA", at positions 509 to 807 of the family's 1533-position model. The record is from RNAcentral.